AACGAACGCUGGCGGCAUGCCUAACACAUGCAAGUCGAACGAGACCUUCGGGUCUAGUGGCGCACGGGUGCGUAACGCGUGGGAACCCGCCCUUAGGUUCGGAAUAACUCCCCGAAAGGGGUGCUAAUACCGGAUAAUGUCUUCGGACCAAAGAUUUAUCGCCUUUGGAUGGGCCCGCGUUGGAUUAGCUAGUUGGUAGGGUAAAAGCCUACCAAGGCGACGAUCCAUAGCUGGUCUGAGAGGAUGAUCAGCCACACUGGGACUGAGACACGGCCCAGACUCCUACGGGAGGCAGCAGUGGGGAAUAUUGGACAAUGGGCGAAAGCCUGAUCCAGCAACGCCGCGUGAGUGAUGAAGGCCUUAGGGUUGUAAAGCUCUUUUACCCGGGAUGAUAAUGACAGUACCGGGAGAAUAAGCUCCGGCUAACUCCGUG
RNAcentral lists this ribosomal RNA (433 nucleotides) under uncultured bacterium. RNAcentral describes it as "partial 16S ribosomal RNA". It matches the Rfam family "Bacterial small subunit ribosomal RNA", at positions 29 to 507 of the family's 1533-position model. The record is from RNAcentral.